Molecule: unclassified non-coding RNA, 265 nt
Filed under: Hevea brasiliensis (rubber tree)
Lineage: Eukaryota; Viridiplantae; Streptophyta; Magnoliopsida; Malpighiales; Euphorbiaceae
Source: RNAcentral
GUCAAAGGCUUUAAUUUGGCAAAUAGGAGUUUGUAGAUCACGCAAGUUUUGAAGGGAAAUAGCCGGUACACAUUCAAGGCAGUAAUUUUGAACAAUACCAUCCCCAUUUCUAGCCUUACCACUGUCAUGGAUUCUUGUCUUACCAAUCCUUGAUCCAAAAGCUUACUAAUUGAAAAUCUCAAAUUAGUUUUACGAUUUUGUUCUUAGGAAAUUCCUCUCCUGCAGUCGUGGCAAUCGUACAACUUGAACGUGGAGAGUGGUGAUC